This 276-nucleotide ribosomal RNA is filed under the name uncultured bacterium. RNAcentral describes it as "partial 16S ribosomal RNA". It matches the Rfam family "Bacterial small subunit ribosomal RNA", at positions 29 to 334 of the family's 1533-position model. The record is from RNAcentral.
AACGAACGCUGGCGGCAGGCCUAACACAUGCAAGUCGAACGAACCUUCGGGUUAGUGGCGCACGGGUGCGUAACGCGUGGGAAUGUACAUCUCGGUAAGGAAUAACUGCUGGAAACGGUAGCUAAUACCUUAUAAUGACUCCGGUCCAAAGAUUUAUCGCCGAGGAAUCAGCCCGCGUCUGAUUAGAUUGUUGGUGAGGUAAUGGCUCACCAAGUCUACGAUCAGUAGCUGGUCUGAGAGGAUGAUCAGCCACACUGGAACUGAGACACGGUCCAG